CAGAAGCUCGUAUUUAAUAGUUGUAUUAACAUAUUCAAUUUAUGUAUUAAAUAAUAAAUACCUAUAAUGACUAGAAUGAUGCAUACUAGAACGGAUAACAGAAAACCCUUGAUAAAAUUAGCAUGCUCCUUAAUGAGUUCAAUUAGUUUUUCCAUUUGUAUAUAUAUCUUGUUUUGUUGUUUCCGCUUCUUCAGUGAAUCAAGACUUUUUGUAAAUAGCCAGUUGGGUUUACCAACCAAG
RNAcentral lists this unclassified non-coding RNA (240 nucleotides) under Hevea brasiliensis (rubber tree). The record is from RNAcentral. Lineage: Eukaryota; Viridiplantae; Streptophyta; Magnoliopsida; Malpighiales; Euphorbiaceae.